UACGGAGGGGGCUAGCGUUGUUCGGAAUUACUGGGCGUAAAGCGCACGUAGGCGGCUUUGUAAGUUAGAGGUGAAAGCCCAGGGCUUAACCCUGGAAUUGCCUUUAAGACUGCAUCGCUAGAAUCGUGGAGAGGUGAGUGGAAUUCCGAGUGUAGAGGUGAAAUUCGUAGAUAUCAGGAGGAACACCUGUGGCGAAAGCGGCUCACUGGACCAUAACUGACGCUGAUGCACGAAAGCUAGGGGAGCAAACAGG
Molecule: ribosomal RNA, 253 nt
Filed under: uncultured bacterium
Lineage: Bacteria
Description: partial 16S ribosomal RNA
Rfam family: Bacterial small subunit ribosomal RNA
Source: RNAcentral